UACCAGCACCCCGAGUGGUCGGGACGUUUAUUGGGCCUAACGCCUCCGUAGCCGGUUCUACAAGUCUUCCGUUAAAUCCACCUGCUUAACAGAUGGGCUGCGGAAGAUACUAUGGAGCUAGGAGGCGGGAGAGGCAAGCGGUACUCGAUGGGUAGGGGUAAAAUCCGUUGAUCCAUUGAAGACCACCAGUGGCGAAGGCGGCUUGCCAGAACGCGCUCGACGGUGAGGGAUGAAAGCUGGGGGAGCAAACCGG
RNAcentral lists this ribosomal RNA (253 nucleotides) under uncultured bacterium. RNAcentral's name for it is "partial 16S ribosomal RNA". It matches the Rfam family "Archaeal small subunit ribosomal RNA", at positions 474 to 727 of the family's 1478-position model. The record is from RNAcentral.